Molecule: ribosomal RNA, 253 nt
Filed under: uncultured bacterium
Lineage: Bacteria
Description: partial 16S ribosomal RNA
Rfam family: Bacterial small subunit ribosomal RNA
Source: RNAcentral
UACGUAGGGUGCGAGCGUUGUCCGGAAUUAUUGGGCGUAAAGAGUGUGUAGGCGGUGCUCCCAGUCUGUUGUGAAAUCUCCCGGCUUAACUGGGAGGGUGCAGCGGAAACUAGAGUGCUAGAGGGUGGGAGAGGUAAGCGGAAUUCCUGGUGUAGCGGUGAAAUGCGUAGAUAUCAGGAGGAACACCUGUGGUGUAGACAGCUUACUGGACCACUUCUGACGCUGAGACACGAAAGCGUGGGUAGCAAACAGG